GAUUUUUCAAAUUCACGUCACUAUUGCUGCCUGAAUUCUGUUUCUUUGCAAAAUUUUACCAUUUUAUGACUUUCAUACCUAAUUUAUCACUUAGACUUUUAUAACAAUAAUUAACUUCAUCCUUGACCAUUUAAACAACCAUUCAUCAUCAAAUACUUACACAUCAUUCUAUAGUAAAAUCAUAUUUACAAAUAUACAAAAUUACUAAAUUCCUAUACAUGCCAUAACUAAAAGAAAUGUUCACCACCACAAUUAGCUCAGAAUCGACUUUGGAUGCUGAUUCAACAAUCCGACUUUGACCUAACCUGCGCACGGAAACAACCGUACGCUGAGUAUGGAAAUACUCAGUGGUAUUACCAUAAUUCGAAUUAAUAACAUUAAUCGAUAAAUUAUAUACAUUUUAUUUAUGUCUACAAUUAUUCAUUAAUUAUCUCAUGCAUUAAAUCAACUUGAUAAUUAAUAACAAUAAGCUAUAAUUCAAAUCUUGUAUUUAAUUGUAUUCAUACCUUAUUUCACUAUCUCAAUUCCAUUGGAUUUUUCUUUACAUCUCAUUCCAAUAGUUCAUUUCAAUUCAUAUACAAUUCAUUUCAUUUAAUUUAUAUUCAAUAUAAAUUUUAUUGCAAUUUGUACUCACUAAUAUCAUAUAACAAAAUUUACUCUUUAUCACAUCAUGAACUUUGGGCUCAUAUCUUUAAAUCUCUUAUUUCGAUUUCCAAUUCACACAUCAAUUCACAACUUCACUUUUUCGUUUCUUCCCAUAGCUCAAUCAAUCACAUUUAUUCAAUUUUCUCAUUUCAAUUAUUUACCCCUAUUAACAAGACUCGGACCUUGGCGGAUACACGGAUCCAACCAAACACACCAAAAUGGCACCCAGUGCCUCAUCGGAUAGUUCGAAGCAAUAGUUGACACCCAGUGUCUCAUCGGCCCAGCCGAAGUAAAGUUGGUACCCAGUACCUCAUCGAAUCUAUCCGAAGAAAUAUAGUGACACCCAGUGUCUCAUCGACUCAAGGUCGAAGUAUCCCUGAACUCUUCCAAUCCUAUGGCAUGCCAACUAUAUCCGACUCAGCCCGACUAGUUAAUAGGGUUUCCGAAUCACAUUUCAAUUCAAUCACUUUCUCAUACUUUCAAUUCAAAUCAUUCCCAUUUAAUCACCAUUUGUUUCAAUACAUUUUUCUAUUUCAAAUUCACUUUCGAUUUAAUUGCAAUUCAACUCAGAUUCACUUCCCACUUUCAAAUCAAUAUACAAUUCAAUACCAAUACAUAUUUCAGAUAUUCACAUAUAAUCAUACUUCGAUUCAAUUCAAACCACUUUUCAAUCAAUACACAAUUCACAUAUUCACAUAUCUCAAUUUAAUAUCUCAUUUAUUCAAUUCAUAUUUUAAUUCAUUCAAUUAAAUAUUGAUAUUCUCCUUAUUUUUAUUUACUAACAUAUUAUUCAAAAUUCAAUAAUUACUGUCAAUAAAUUCAAUAUCAAUACGUAUAUAUAUUAUUCAAUUCAAUUAUGAAACUCACCUCAAUUUGCUUAUCGUGUAUAUUAAUUUAAUUUUCAACGAUUAAUAAUUAAAUUCGAAUUAUAGUAAUACUAACCGUAAUUUCUCUCGAGUCACUCCUUGUCCACUUUCUCCUUUCCUUUCUCGGACAAUGAUUCGUACACGACAUUAACUACGUAAUUAAACAAUUAAAAAUCAUUAAUACACAAUUUCAUUAAAAUAUUUCCUUUUAUACCUAAACUUUACCCAAAUUCUAAUUUAAUCCCUUACCAAUACUAAUUUUAUUUUUCCCAAUCUAACUCUAUAUUCUCUCUUAAUUCUUACUAAACUCAUAUUUAACUAUUUAAUUUUUAUCAUGUUUUCAUAAUUCCGAAUUUAUUUCAAAUUAAUCCCUAAAAUUCAAAACUUAUAGUUUAAUUUACAAUUCAAUCCUUUAUUCAAUUCCAAUCAAAAUUUCUAUCAAAUACAUCCCUAAUUUAACAAUUUAUUCAACAUGAACCAUGCUUAAUAAUCUACUAACUUUCAAAAUUUCAACUUAAAUCAAGUAGUAUUUUAUUCUAGGAUUUCAAAAAAAAUAUCAAAAUUAAGAGAAAAGGGGAUUAAAUUGACUUACCAAAUUACUUUGAACCUUAAAACCCCGAAUUUCCCUUUUUCUUUUCUUUUCUUUCUUUCUUUCCUUCCUUCCUUCUCUGUUUCGUUUUGCUCUCUGUUUCUUUCUUUCUCCCUUCUCUGUUUUGUUUUGCUCUUUGUUUCUUUUCUUUCUUUCUUUGUCAUAUAUAUAUAUAUAAUAUAAUAUAAUAUAAAAUAUUAAUAAUAAUCAUUACUUACAUAUAUAUAUAUAUAUAUAUUAACUAGAAUAUCUCAGAUAUUUCUUUCAUUAUGCCGCCUCAACUUUAGAAAAAGGCAUAAUUGCCUAUUUGGUCCUUUUAACUUUUCUUUAAUCUAUAAUUAAACUUUUAUCCCUAUU
RNAcentral lists this long non-coding RNA (2457 nucleotides) under Gossypium barbadense (sea-island cotton). RNAcentral's name for it is "long non-coding RNA (GBAR_LNC001937)". The record is from RNAcentral. Lineage: Eukaryota; Viridiplantae; Streptophyta; Magnoliopsida; Malvales; Malvaceae.